GUCAGUGGGAGGGGACAGAAUCAAAGGUCAUGGGUAGGGAAUCCAAGAUCCAUCUCUUAGUUGGGGACAAAUUUCCCCUCCCAAUUUCAUGCAGAAAUUGACAAGGGAGGAGUUCAGAGGGAGGAGGGUGCUGUGUUACAAAGCAGAGGAGCAUUCAUGGGACAGAUAUACCUCCAUUAACACAGAAUUUAUGUUCUGGGGCACUGCUUUUCUACAGAAAAUUGGUAUUGGAGGCAGAACAACCAUGGGAAUAAUAGGGACGAGACUGUACAAUAGAAAAAUAGAAUAGAACCAUAGAAUUGGAAGAGUCCACAAGGGUCAUCUAGUCUAACCUCUUGCUUAACACCCUCCAAAGAUGGAGACUCCUCCAUGCUCCCAGGCAGCUUUUUCUACUGCAGAACGACUCUUAUGGUCAAGACCUUCCUCCUAAUGUUGAAGCGGAAUUUCUUUUCCUACAGUUUAAAUCAAUUGCUCUGUGUCCUAGUCUUUGGAGCAUCAGAGAACAAGCUUGCCCUCUCUUCAAUGGACAUCCUUUCAAACACUUAAACAGGGCUCUCCUGUCUAUUUCUGACUUAUUUUCUUCAAGUGAAACAUACCUAUUACUUAACAAAUAUGCGUAUGAGAAAUGUAACAAGGAUAGAGAAGCCUUACUGAAGUUAAGAAAAACACUCCAAACCUUCGGGAGAUCAUUUCCUUCUUCCAAACUGGACCCAGAAAAUAUGUUUUUCUUUUACUUGUUUUCUUUUUUCUUACAAUCCCCUUGGGGUUUUUUUCCCUUAAGGUGUGCCUUGGAAGAGAAGAGAGGAAGAGUGACAUCCCUCUCAGCACUUGAGGGUUUCUCCACUGAUCUUCGCUGCCUUGCCACCUCUUCAGCUGAUAAGAAUAGUUUUCAUGGGAAAGAGAUGGGUUGGUGAUUUCCUUUUAAUUCUUUUGUUCAUUUCCAUUUUACCUUCAGCCUCCAACUUGCGACACAUCAUCGAGUAUGUCGUAGUGGCUCUCCUUGCGAUAGCUUACAUUGCUGGGCUUGCUGUUUAUGUCAAAAAACAUCAAGGUGAUUACAAAGCAACUUCAGGGAUUUCUUCCCAGCCCAGCGCUGUGCUGAAAACGAAACUAACUUUGGGAGGCCGCCGAGGUUUACAGAAUUCAAACAAAAAAGUAUUGGAAAAACAUCAAGAUGACCACAAAACAGUCUCAGGUGAGUGUUGCUUUCCCGUUGCAUCUUUACUCCAAAUGACUGAGGGAGGAAUGGGAAUGAGAUGGUUGAACUGAGACAUGUACAUACAUCUAUAUGUCCAAGAGUUUAGGCCAAGGACAGGCUUUUUUUGAAACAGAGCAAAAUCAUCCAGGAAGGCUCUAAGACUUGUGGAAAAUACCCUCUCCUCAUCUCUAGAGGGGCAGUGGAGAGAUACAGUCCUCCAGGGUCUCCUGGGGUUCCUAUGCAGCCCCCUGGCCUUCCAUGUUUGCCUAUCUCUGAUUGAAGGGCUCUCACUUGGUCAUAGUAUUUCUGGGCAAUUGAGUUCCACUAGUGUAUUUCAGAGCCAGUGAGGAGUAGUGAUGUGAACAUUAGAUUAGGACUAUGAAAACCAGGGUUUGGAAUUGAAAGCAUAUGACCAGUUUUUAUGAAAUAUAAUCACAAAGUGGUCUGAAACAUGUACUCAUACAUUAUCUGUGUACAAGAGAAUUUAAUUCUGGAAGGAGUAUGCCUUGGCAGAUUGGUCCCAGCAGACAUAUUCUUUUAGAGCUAUUGCUAAGGAUAAUUUUAAUUAAAUUUCAACUCUGAGAAGCAUAGUAUUUCAGAGCUUCCUCGAUUGCAUGGUGUAAAUGAAUAAAAGAAAUAACUGGAUAAAUAAAAUAUGGUUUCUUCUAAGUGAAGAAAAUUAAUUCAAGCAAGUACACUUGCUUUUUGGAGCAGAACCUGAGAUCUGAGUCAUACCUACGGG
Anolis carolinensis (green anole) is the source of this 1940-nucleotide long non-coding RNA. The record is from Ensembl. Lineage: Eukaryota; Metazoa; Chordata; Lepidosauria; Squamata; Anolidae.